This 2068-nucleotide ribosomal RNA is filed under the name Enterococcus faecium. Its description in RNAcentral is "partial 23S ribosomal RNA". It matches the Rfam family "Bacterial large subunit ribosomal RNA", at positions 132 to 2210 of the family's 2925-position model. The record is from RNAcentral. Lineage: Bacteria; Bacillati; Bacillota; Bacilli; Lactobacillales; Enterococcaceae.
CAUCUUUAAUAGGAUGUUACGAUUGUGUGAAUACAUAGCACAUUCGAGGUAGACGCAGAGAACUGAAACAUCUAAGUACCUGCAGGAAGAGAAAGAAAAUUCGAUUCCCUGAGUAGCGGCGAGCGAAACGGGAAAAGCCCAAACCAGCAAGCUUGCUUGUUGGGGUUGUAGGACUCCAAUAUGGUAGUUCUUUCAGAUAGUCGAAUGACUUGGAAAAGUCAGUCAAAGAGGGUAAAAACCCCGUAGACGAAAUGUGGAAGACACCUAGGAGGAUCCUGAGUACGGCGGAACACGAGAAAUUCCGUCGGAAUCCGGGAGGACCAUCUCCCAAGGCUAAAUACUCCCUAGUGACCGAUAGUGAACCAGUACCGUGAGGGAAAGGUGAAAAGCACCCCGGAAGGGGAGUGAAAUAGAACCUGAAACCGUGUGCCUACAACAAGUCAAAGCCCGUUAAUGGGUGAUGGCGUGCCUUUUGUAGAAUGAACCGGCGAGUUACGAUUGCAUGCGAGGUUAAGUUGAAGAGACGGAGCCGCAGCGAAAGCGAGUCUGAAUAGGGCGUUUGAGUAUGUAGUCGUAGACCCGAAACCAUGUGAUCUACCCAUGUCCAGGUUGAAGGUGCGGUAAAACGCACUGGAGGACCGAACCCACGUACGUUGAAAAGUGCGGGGAUGAGGUGUGGGUAGCGGAGAAAUUCCAAACGAACUUGGAGAUAGCUGGUUCUCUCCGAAAUAGCUUUAGGGCUAGCCUCGGAAUUGAGAAUGAUGGAGGUAGAGCACUGUUUGGACUAGGGGCCCAUCUCGGGUUACCGAAUUCAGAUAAACUCCGAAUGCCAUUCAUUCAUAUCCGGGAGUCAGACUGUGAGUGAUAAGAUCCAUAGUCGAAAGGGAAACAGCCCAGACCACCAGCUAAGGUCCCAAAAUAUAUGUUAAGUGGAAAAGGAUGUGGGGUUGCACAGACAACUAGGAUGUUGGCUUAGAAGCAGCCACCAUUUAAAGAGUGCGUAAUAGCUCACUAGUCGAGUGACCCUGCGCCGAAAAUGUACCGGGGCUAAACAUAUUACCGAAGCUGUGGAGUACACCUUUAGGUGUAUUGGUAGGAGAGCGUUCUAAGGGCGUUGAAGGCAGAUCGUGAGGACUGCUGGAGCGCUUAGAAGUGAGAAUGCCGGUAUGAGUAGCGAAAGACAGGUGAGAAUCCUGUCCACCGAAUGACUAAGGUUUCCUGGGGAAGGCUCGUCCGCCCAGGGUUAGUCGGGACCUAAGCCGAGGCCGACAGGCGUAGGCGAUGGAUAACAGGUUGAUAUUCCUGUACCCGUUGUUUUUGUUUGAGCAAUGGAGGGACGCAGGAGGCUAAGGAAUGCAGACGAUCGGAAAUGUCUGUCCAAGCAGUAAGUCUGAAGAGGAGUCAAAUGCUUCUUUUCUUAAGGACAAGCUGUGAUGGGGAGGGAAAUAAUAGUACCGAAGUUCCUGAUGUCACACUGCCGAGAAAAGCUUCUAGUGAGAAAACAGCGGCCCGUACCGCAAACCGACACAGGUAGUCGAGGAGAGAAUCCUAAGGUGAGCGAGAGAACUCUCGUUAAGGAACUCGGCAAAAUGACCCCGUAACUUCGGGAGAAGGGGUGCUGAUCAUACGAUCAGCCGCAGUGAAUAGGCCCAAGCGACUGUUUAUCAAAAACACAGGUCUCUGCAAAAUCGUAAGAUGAAGUAUAGGGGCUGACGCCUGCCCGGUGCUGGAAGGUUAAGAGGAGUGCUUAGCGCAAGCGAAGGUACGAAUUGAAGCCCCAGUAAACGGCGGCCGUAACUAUAACGGUCCUAAGGUAGCGAAAUUCCUUGUCGGGUAAGUUCCGACCCGCACGAAAGGCGUAACGAUUUGGGCACUGUCUCAACGAGAGACUCGGUGAAAUUUUAGUACCUGUGAAGAUGCAGGUUACCCGCGACAGGACGGAAAGACCCCAUGGAGCUUUACUGUAGUUUGAUAUUGAGUGUCUGUACCGCAUGUACAGGAUAGGUAGGAGCCGUAGAAAUCGGAACGCUAGUUUCGAUGGAGGCGCUGGUGGGAUACUACCCCUGCG